UACGUAGGGUGCGAGCGUUGCCCGGAUUUAUUGGGCGUAAAGGGCGCGUAGGCGGCCACGCACGUCCGUUGUGAAAUCGCCCGGCUCAACUGGGCGGGGUCAGCGGAUACGGUGUGGCUCGAGCAAGCUAGGGGGCAAUGGAAUUCCUGGUGUAGCGGUGAAAUGCGCAGAUAUCAGGAGGAACACCGAUGGCGAAGGCAGGUCUCUGGGCAUUAACUGACGCUGAGGCGCGAAAGCGUGGGGAGCAAACAGG
This 253-nucleotide ribosomal RNA is filed under the name uncultured bacterium. Its description in RNAcentral is "partial 16S ribosomal RNA". It matches the Rfam family "Bacterial small subunit ribosomal RNA", at positions 524 to 776 of the family's 1533-position model. The record is from RNAcentral.